GACGAACGCUGGCGGCGUGCUUAACACAUGCAAGUCGAGCGGUAAGGCCCUUUCGGGGGUACACGAGCGGCGAACGGGUGAGUAACACGUGGGUGACCUGCCCUUAGCUCUGGGAUAAGCCUGGGAAACUGGGUCUAAUACCGGAUAUGACUCCAUGACGCAUGUUGUGGGGUGGAAAGCCUUGUGCGGCUAGGGAUGGGCCCGCGGCCUAUCAGCUUGUUGGUGGGGUGAUGGCCACCAAGGCGACGACGGGUAGCCGGCCUGAGAGGGCGACCGGCCACACUGGGAUUGAGACACGGCCCAGACUCCUACGGGAGGCAGCAGUGGGGAAUCUUGCGCAAUGGGCGAAAGCCUGACGCAGCGACGCCGCGUGGGGA
RNAcentral lists this ribosomal RNA (377 nucleotides) under uncultured bacterium. Its description in RNAcentral is "bacterial SSU rRNA". It matches the Rfam family "Bacterial small subunit ribosomal RNA", at positions 28 to 407 of the family's 1533-position model. The record is from RNAcentral.